GGAGUGAAACAGUACCUGAAACCGGACGCCUACAAUCAGUCGGAGGCUCCUCGAGAGCUGACGGCGUACCUUUUGUAUAAUGGGUCAACGACUUAUUUUCAGUAGCAAGGUUAAGCACAUAGUGGAGCCGUAGGGAAACCGAGUCUUAAUAGGGCGUUUAGUUGCUGGGAAUAGACCCGAAACCGGGCGAUCUAUCCAUGAGCAG
Molecule: ribosomal RNA, 205 nt
Filed under: Paraphysomonas bandaiensis
Lineage: Eukaryota; Chrysophyceae; Chromulinales; Paraphysomonadaceae
Description: partial Bacterial large subunit ribosomal RNA
Rfam family: Bacterial large subunit ribosomal RNA
Source: RNAcentral